This 480-nucleotide long non-coding RNA is filed under the name Nicotiana benthamiana. Its description in RNAcentral is "long non-coding RNA (NBEN_LNC030758)". Lineage: Eukaryota; Viridiplantae; Streptophyta; Magnoliopsida; Solanales; Solanaceae. The record is from RNAcentral.
UCAAUUAAAAGUUUAGUGUUUACUAUUGCCAAAUGCCAAUAAGAGCAAAUUGUUUAAUAAACUAACAUAUUAAGCUUAAAUAAGUCUAUUAAAUUAAAAUAAUACAAAUUAUCUCAAAUCAACUUUAAAACGAAUUCUUGAAGGAUGAUCAAGACAACCUUUGAUAUGCUUCCUUAAAUCAUAUGUUCCGUCCCACUGUUGAUGAACAUCAAAGACUCUACCACAAUUCUUGUACUCUAUUUUGUGAGCUUUAUUUUCUUCUACCACCCCAGAAUUUCCAAAUAUAUUAGCGCACUCUAAUGCAUGGGUUAUGAUUGAACUUGAAACUAAGAAAAAAGGUAACUACACUUCACUUGAUAAUUGUAGUUUUGUAGUGGCUACCAUAAACAAUUGAUGUAAUGUGAAAUAAUAAUUAAUUGAGAACUUAAGAGCAAUAAGCAAUUCUAUAAUAAGAGGAAAUUGCGAGAGAAUUGAAGUAUU